Long non-coding RNA from Ostrinia nubilalis (European corn borer), 343 nucleotides. RefSeq lists it as uncharacterized. The record is from RefSeq and is a predicted model, not a curated record. Lineage: Eukaryota; Metazoa; Arthropoda; Insecta; Lepidoptera; Crambidae. The transcript is spliced from 3 exons.
CCAGUCGUUUUUGAACUCCAGCUGCAGUUGCACGCCAUGGUACUUAAAUAGUAUCCAGUUACGAAGAAAAAAGGGGUUCUGCUUUGGGGGAAGGUGCACAGAAGGCUAGCCACAUUGUCAAGAAUAACCAGGCUCAUUCUUUGGCCUGCCUUCGGAUCAGGAGUUCCAGCAUUCAACUAAACAUGGCUCAGCUGGCUCACUACAGGAUCAUUGGGUACGCAGUCACCCUGGUCCUCCACAUUGGGAAUACUAUAGUCAUCAAAAGUGCGCUGAAGAGCCACUCCGAUGACCCGGAGAUCAGAACCUUGGCAUUUUUGGAAGACUGCUUUUACACCAUUUGGAA